This 253-nucleotide ribosomal RNA is filed under the name uncultured bacterium. RNAcentral's name for it is "partial 16S ribosomal RNA". It matches the Rfam family "Bacterial small subunit ribosomal RNA", at positions 524 to 776 of the family's 1533-position model. The record is from RNAcentral.
UACAGAGGGUGCUAGCGUUGUUCGGAAUCAUUGGGCGUAAAGGGCGUGUAGGCGGUUUGUUAAGUCAUGUGUGAAAUCCCUCGGCUCAACCGGGGAACGACGCAUGAAACUGGCAAGCUAGAGUACCAAAGAGGGGGGUGGAAUUCCCGGUGUAGCGGUGAAAUGCGUAGAUAUCGUAAGGAAGACCAGUGGCGAAGGCGGGUCUCUGGACAGUUCCUGACGCUGAGGCACGAAGGCCAGGGGAGCAAACGGG